GAUGAAGAACGCAGCGAAAUGCGAUAAGUGAUGUGAAUUGCAGAAUUCAGUGAAUCAUCGAAUCUUUGAACGCACAUUGCGCCCCCUGGUAUUCCGGGGGGCAUGCCUGUUCGAGCGUCAUUUCACCACUCAAGCCUCGCUUGGUAUUGGGCAACGCGGUCCGCCGCGUGCCUCAAAUCGACCGGCUGGGUCUUCUGUCCCCUAAGCGUUGUGGAAACUAUUCGCUAAAGGGUGUUCGGGAGGCUACGCCGUAAAACAACCCCAUUUCUAAGGUUGACCUCGGAUCAGGUAGGGAUACCCGCUGAACUUAAGCAUAUCAAUAAGCGGAGGA
This 331-nucleotide unclassified non-coding RNA is filed under the name soil metagenome. RNAcentral describes it as "partial contains 5.8S ribosomal RNA, internal transcribed spacer 2, and large subunit ribosomal RNA". The stretch from base 1 to 120 matches the Rfam family "5.8S ribosomal RNA", at positions 35 to 154 of the family's 154-position model. The record is from RNAcentral.